GAGUGGCGGACGGGUGAGUAAUGCUUGGGAACUUGCCUUUGCGAGGGGGAUAACAGUUGGAAACGACUGCUAAUACCGCAUAAUGUCUUCGGACCAAACGGGGCUUCGGCUCCGGCGCAAAGAGAGGCCCAAGUGAGAUUAGCUAGUUGGUAAGGUAACGGCUUACCAAGGCGACGAUCUCUAGCUGUUCUGAGAGGAAGAUCAGCCACACUGGGACUGAGACACGGCCCAGACUCCUACGGGAGGCAGCAGUGGGGAAUAUUGCACAAUGGGGGAAACCCUGAUGCAGCCAUGCCGCGUGUGUGAAGAAGGCCUUCGGGUUGUAAAGCACUUUCAGUUGUGAGGAAAAGUUAGUAGUUAAUACCUGCUAGCCGUGACGUUAACAACAGAAGAAGCACCGGCUAACUCCGUGCCAGCAGCCGCGGUAAUACGGAGGGUGCGAGCGUUAAUCGGAAUUACUGGGCGUAAAGCGCACGCAGGCGGUUUGUUAAGCUAGAUGUGAAAGCCCCGGGCUCAACCUGGGAUGGUCAUUUAGAACUGGCAGACUAGAGUCUUGGAGAGGGGAGUGGAAUUCCAGGUGUAGCGGUGAAAUGCGUAGAUAUCUGGAGGAACAUCAGUGGCGAAGGCGACUCCCUGGCCAAAGACUGACGCUCAUGUGCGAAAGUGUGGGUAGCGAACAGGAUUAGAUACCCUGGUAGUCCACACCGUAAACGCUGUCUACUAGCUGUGUGUGCCUUUAAGNACGUGCGUAGCGAAGCUAACGCGCUAAGUAGACCGCCUGGGGGAGUACGGCCGCAAGGUUAAAACUCAAAUGAAUUGACGGGGGG
Molecule: ribosomal RNA, 827 nt
Filed under: Alteromonadales bacterium HOT3F3
Lineage: Bacteria; Pseudomonadati; Pseudomonadota; Gammaproteobacteria; Alteromonadales
Description: bacterial SSU rRNA
Rfam family: Bacterial small subunit ribosomal RNA
Source: RNAcentral